RNAcentral lists this ribosomal RNA (442 nucleotides) under uncultured bacterium. RNAcentral describes it as "partial 16S ribosomal RNA". It matches the Rfam family "Bacterial small subunit ribosomal RNA", at positions 338 to 795 of the family's 1533-position model. The record is from RNAcentral.
CCUACGGAGGGCAGCAGUGGGGAAUAUUGGGCAAUGGGCGCAAGCCUGACCCAGCAACGCCGCGUGAAGGAAGAAGGCUUUCGGGUUGUAAACUUCUUUUAAGGGGGAAGAGCAGAAGACGGUACCCCUUGAAUAAGCCACGGCUAACUACGUGCCAGCAGCCGCGGUAAUACGUAGGUGGCAAGCGUUGUCCGGAUUUACUGGGUGUAAAGGGCGUGCAGCCGGAGAGACAAGUCAGAUGUGAAAUCCACGGGCUCAACCCGUGAACUGCAUUUGAAACUGUUUCCCUUGAGUGUCGGAGAGGUAAUCGGAAUUCCUAGUGUAGCGGUGAAAUGCGUAGAUAUUAGGAAGAACACCAGUGGCGAAGGCGGAUUACUGGACGAUAACUGACGGUGAGGCGCGAAAGCGUGGGGAGCAAACAGGAUUAGAUACCCGAGUAGUC